This 627-nucleotide ribosomal RNA is filed under the name Triticum aestivum (bread wheat). RNAcentral's name for it is "partial small subunit ribosomal RNA". Lineage: Eukaryota; Viridiplantae; Streptophyta; Magnoliopsida; Poales; Poaceae. The record is from RNAcentral.
AUGCGAGGUCUGAUGUUGCUAAAUCUUACAAAGAACACACUUUCAGGUGUGAUUCCAAAAGAUUUAGGGAUAAUGGGUGGCCUUGAACAGUUAUACCUUGCACACAACAACUUGUCUGGUUAUAUCCCAGAAAGCUUGGAAAACAUGGCAUCAUUGUACCAGUUAGACCUAUCGUUCAACCAUCUGGAUGGCAAAGUUCCAUCACGGGGAGUGUUUAGCGAUGCAUCUGGAUUUUCAUUUGGUGGGAAUUCGAGGCUUUGUGGUGGUAUAUUAGAGUUACAUUUGCCCGCAUGCCAGACAAAAUCUAUGAGACAUGGCUUUAGCAAACGCCAUUUGACUAUCACCCUAGUUACCGCAAUUGCUGGCAUAAUUCUGAUUUUGAGUUUGAUGCUUGUUUCCUUGACAAUGCUAAUGAAAUCAAAAACUCAGUCUACAACCACAGGAGGAUUCCAUUUGAUGAAUGACAGUCAUCCCAGAGUUACAUAUGCUGAAUUGGUCCAAGGAACAAGUGGCUUUGCAGUAGAUAAUUUGCUUGGAAGAGGAAGGUAUGGAUCGGUGUAUAAGGGUUGUUUGCAUCUCACAAGUAUGAUGACCACAGUAGCUGUAAAGGUUUUUGAUCUUCAAUAG